GGGGGCGAUGCGGGUUCGACGGGAACAGUGAAGCCGGGUAAGCAGGCCGGAGAAGGUUACUCCGUAAAAAACCAACAAACAACAAUUCCCGAACGUGAACUCGCUCUCGCUGCCUAAUUAGAGCGGCGACGUCCUCCUAGGCUCGCCUGUGGGCUUAGGAAGGGCGACAGACACACAGGCUAGAGAAGUACCUGCCUCCCCGAGGGUACUUCUUGAACUUUUCAGGGGAUAGCCUACAGUAGCCUUGCCUGUGAGGAAGCUGUAGGCGAAAUUCUAAUCACAGGAUAAGCCUGUAGAAAGCCCGUGCGAUAGCUGUUCUCGGACGGGGGUUCGAUUCCCCCCGCCUCCACCA
This 352-nucleotide transfer-messenger RNA is filed under the name Hydrogenothermaceae. RNAcentral describes it as "JAADDZ01 sp013153635 Standard tmRNA". It matches the Rfam family "transfer-messenger RNA". Rfam says of the family: Bacterial tmRNA, also known as 10Sa RNA or SsrA, is named for its dual tRNA and mRNA-like properties. Its role is to liberate the mRNA from a stalled ribosome. To accomplish this part of the tmRNA is used as a reading frame that ends in a translation stop signal. RNAcentral also lists the same sequence under 1 other name. The record is from RNAcentral. Lineage: Bacteria; Pseudomonadati; Aquificota; Aquificia; Aquificales.